This 341-nucleotide long non-coding RNA is filed under the name Medicago truncatula (barrel medic). RNAcentral's name for it is "lncRNA gene399". The record is from RNAcentral. Lineage: Eukaryota; Viridiplantae; Streptophyta; Magnoliopsida; Fabales; Fabaceae.
GGGAAAUACACAACCAAACAAGCCCUUAUCACAAUUCUAUUCCACAGUAUAUCUCUUUCCCAAUUCUAUGGACCAUUCAUACAUUACAAUCCACUACAUUCUGAGUCCUCUUGAGAGCCUUCUCCAAAGGCCAAUUCAGAGUAACUACCUAUGUACGCCCGCCAACAUAGAGUUUUUUUAUCUUCUAAUGUUUUCCCUCAUAUUGUCUUGUAGCAAUAAUGACAUAGCUACCCAGCUCUUUCUUCUCGCUCAAUUUCUGUGAUUAUCCAACACUAUUUCUUCGUCAUUACUGAUUAGCAUAGAAAAUGAGCACAUUGGAUGCAACAAGGGCAGAACUUGGC